Long non-coding RNA from Dromaius novaehollandiae (emu), 659 nucleotides. RefSeq lists it as uncharacterized. The record is from RefSeq and is a predicted model, not a curated record. NCBI's taxonomy places the organism in Eukaryota, Metazoa, Chordata, Aves, Casuariiformes, Dromaiidae. The transcript has 3 exons.
UCAGGCUUUAGAGUCCUGCUGGGGAUUUCUGGAAGAAUUCUGAAAACUGCUAGGUGCAGAACUUGCCACGUCUGACAGAUUUCACUUACAUGCUGUCAUCUGUUUUAAAUGUCACAGGAUAUACAGAAGCCCAAAGCUGCAGAACUGGCUCUUCUGGACUGCAAGACUUGCAAGAGAUGGACAAUAUGGUGGAGGCAGCACUGAGAGGAGGCAAUGCCAAGAUUUGCUCUAGCUGGAUGAUUUAGAAAUGGUUUGAUGAGUGAUCUACAUCUGUGCUUGGUGGCUGGGGAAGUUCAUUGAUGCCUCUAUGCAUCUGGACCCGAUCUUGACAGGGAAAUACCCGUACUACUUAGCAGCAGGAGUGAUAAACAGAAUAGGACAUCAAAAUAGAACACACGACCUCAGGAUCCAUUUUUUUUCACACCACUUUGUGUAGCCAUGACCAAACCAGUCAGAUCAAGACCCAGCCAUUGGUAACUUCAAGAGACCUAUUGCUGUUGAGAACAGCUUUCUUUCUAUCUUUGCUUUCUUUGAGGAAUUACAACUGGAGACUUGGAACAAUAGUAGAAGACCUUAGUGAAGAUGAGAAGAAGAAAAAGAGAGAAGUAGCAUACUUGUGUAUCUUCAGGUGGGAUUCACUGUGCUUCAUUUACUUUUUA